UGAGGAAUAUUGGUCAAUGGACGCAAGUCUGAACCAGCCAUGCCGCGUGCAGGAAGACGGCUCUAUGAGUUGUAAACUGCUUUUGUACGAGGGUAAACUCACCUACGUGUAGGUGACUGAAAGUAUCGUACGAAUAAGGAUCGGCUAACUCCGUGCCAGCAGCCGCGGUAAUACGGAGGAUUCAAGCGUUAUCCGGAUUUAUUGGGUUUAAAGGGUGCGUAGGCGGUUUGAUAAGUUAGAGGUGAAAUCCCGGGGCUUAACUCCGGAACUGCCUCUAAUACUGUUAGACUAGAGAGUAGUUGCGGUAGGCGGAAUGUAUGGUGUAGCGGUGAAAUGCUUAGAGAUCAUACAGAACACCGAUUGCGAAGGCAGCUUACCAAACUAUAUCUGACGUUGAGGCACGAAAGCGUGGGGAGCAAACAGGAUUAGAUACCCUGGUAGUCCACGCAGUAAACGAUGAUAACUCGUUGUCGGCGAUACACAGUCGGUGACUAAGCGAAAGCGAUAAGUUAUCCACCUGGGGAGUACGUUCGCAAGAAUGAAACUCAAAGGAAUUGACGGGGGCCCGCACAAGCGGAGGAACAUGUGGUUUAAUUCGAUGAUACGCGAGGAACCUUACCCGGGCUUGAAAGUUACUGACGAUUCUGGAAACAGGAUUUCCCUUUGGGGCAGGAAACUAGGUGCUGCAUGGUUGUCGUCAGCUCGUGCCGUGAGGUGUCGGGUUAAGUCCCAUAACGAGCGCAACCCCUACCGUUAGUUGCCAUCAGGUCAAGCUGGGCACUCUGGCGGGACUGCCGGUGUAAGCCGAGAGGAAGGUGGGGAUGACGUCAAAUCAGCACGGCCCUUACGUCCGGGGCUACACACGUGUUACAAUGGUAGGUACAGAGGGUCGCUACUCCGUGAGGAGAUGCCAAUCUCGAAAGCCUAUCUCAGUUCGGAUUGGAGGCUGAAACCCGCCUCCAUGAAGUUGGAUUCGCUAGUAAUCGCGAAUCAGAAUGCCGCGGUGAAUACGUUCCC
Molecule: ribosomal RNA, 1017 nt
Filed under: uncultured bacterium
Lineage: Bacteria
Description: bacterial SSU rRNA
Rfam family: Bacterial small subunit ribosomal RNA
Source: RNAcentral